RNAcentral lists this ribosomal RNA (397 nucleotides) under uncultured bacterium. RNAcentral describes it as "partial 16S ribosomal RNA". It matches the Rfam family "Bacterial small subunit ribosomal RNA", at positions 523 to 917 of the family's 1533-position model. The record is from RNAcentral.
AUACGUAGGGUGCGAGCGUUGUCCGGAAUUACUGGGCGUAAAGAGCUCGUAGGUGGUUUGUCGCGUCGUCUGUGAAAUUCCGGGGCUUAACUCCGGGCGUGCAGGCGAUACGGGCAUAACUUGAGUACUGUAGGGGAGACUGGAAUUCCUGGUGUAGCGGUGAAAUGCGCAGAUAUCAGGAGGAACACCGGUGGCGAAGGCGGUUCUCUGGGCAGUAACUGACGCUGAGGAGCGAAAGCAUGGGUAGCGAACAGGAUUGGAUACCCUGGUAGUCCAUGCCGUAAACGGUGGGCGCUAGGUGUAGGGGUCUUCCACGACUUCUGUGCCGUAGCUAAAGCAUUAAGCGCCCCGCCUGGGGAGUACGGCCGCAAGGCUAAAACUCAAAGGAAUUGACGGG